GCUGGCGUAGCUCAGUUGGUAGAGCAGGACUUUCGUAAAGUCAAGGUCGGAGGUUCAACUCCUCUCGCCAGCU
This 73-nucleotide transfer RNA is filed under the name Candidatus Omnitrophota bacterium. Its description in RNAcentral is "tRNA-Thr". It matches the Rfam family "tRNA". Rfam says of the family: Transfer RNA (tRNA) molecules are approximately 80 nucleotides in length. Their secondary structure includes four short double-helical elements and three loops (D, anti-codon, and T loops). The record is from RNAcentral. Lineage: Bacteria; Pseudomonadati; Candidatus Omnitrophota.